Alosa sapidissima (American shad) is the source of this 3068-nucleotide long non-coding RNA. RefSeq lists it as uncharacterized. Lineage: Eukaryota; Metazoa; Chordata; Actinopteri; Clupeiformes; Clupeidae. The transcript is spliced from 3 exons. The record is from RefSeq and is a predicted model, not a curated record.
GUUCUCUCACCUAGCCCGCCCUUUCUCUCUAUCACUCCCCAUCUCUCGCACGCUUCCUCUCUCUAUCCCACUCUCUCUAUCCUACAACGAUGUGUGGGUCCGCCGCUAACCUACUCUCAACACGCCCAAUUAUGACGAGUUGUGAUGCUUGAGCGCUGAUGACCGGGUCCCAUUCCGAGAGCCAGAUGACGAGACUGCAGCGAGCCAUCGGCACCUGUCAGUAUCCCCACCCCAUAGGCUGGUGCGCACAACAAUGGCUAGUCUGUUUGAAGUUUGUCUCAGAAGUGUCCUGGAGGGUUUGGCCGAUCAGCUUACUAACAUAGGCUAGUUUACAUAUGUGACUAUGCCUAAUAUUGAAAUGGCAUUAUGCAAUUUAGGAUGCUGCAUUGCGUGCAAUACAUGGGUGCAUUUUUAGCCAAGGCCAUGUGUUGAUUUAACGCCGGCGCAUUGUACCAGACUAGUUUAGACUGGAUCUACUCUCGUCCCCUCCCCCUCGCGAAGGAAGAAGAGAGAAAAAAAACGUCGACCUGAUCGCCCAUUUAAAGGAAACCGGAGAACCCUCCACCGCCCCGCAACAGAUCGCCCCUGUCCUCCCAAGCAAAGACUUUGCUUCAUGCGUGCGUGCGCACUUUAUACGCGCGACAUCACCUGAGAGCAUGUGGUCAUUUCUCAACAUCAGCACCUGCACCAGGAUGGAGCGCCACUGACUCGCGCGCACCCUGACAAGAACCGCCCAGCAUAUAGUAUCAUACGGUAGUUCAGUUCAGUUUAAAAGAGAGAGUAUAUUCUGUUUUAAAGAAGUAUAAUAUAGCCUAUUAUCGAGAUGUCUGCACGUUUUAUGUUGUCGUAAUCUGAUCCAGUUGCGGUUUUCAACAACUACUUCCGUGCUGGCCAGAUUACUUGAAAAAGCUGUUUAUACGAAAUCUAAUGCCAUGCCUUUUUACGCUAGGGCUUUCAUGCAGAAAACUUCUGUGAGAUGCGUUUUGAUGAUGAAUUGACGCCUGUUUGGAGGUUUCUGCAGUGCUAAAGGUGCAGGAAGCAUCGCAGCAUUCUGCCAACCAAAUGUUUAGUUGUGUGCGUGUGCAUCUGUGUGAGCAACUGUAGACCUCAUCCUCAUAACUGCAGGCCAGCUGUAGUGUGCUCAGGUGUGUGUAUUGACCAGAGGUAUGUGUGUGAUGGGACAGCACAGUCUCAGCUUCAAGGCCACUUUACCUGGAUCCAUCUCUGUGAUGACUAGACUGCUGCAUUCUACAGGGCCUCUUGUAUGAUGGAGAGAAAGACUGUUCUGGUGGUACUGACAAGGGUGGCUGUGGUGAGUCCUCCAGUCCACUGAAAGGAUUUCUGUGAAGACCUUUGAUGCCAUCAGCAGAGCAGAGCAGGUUGUAUCAUUUGCAAAGAGAGAGAGUGUGUGUGUGUGUGUGAACCACUGUUUUGAAUUGGCAGAUUUAAUAGAAAAGACUAAUCUGUUGUAAUAUGUUUUCAGUACUCUAGAAAUCUAUCUUUUUUACACAUAUACAUACUUCUUUACACAUCAGAUACAUCUGAAAUACGACAAAUACUGAUAAUAUGAUGUGAUACUGAUAUAGUUAACAAUGUCCCAGAAUUGUAAUCACUUAAAUAGUGUUGAAAGAAUGCUUCCCUAAGUAUAAAGCUAUGAUAAUUAGGAAGAGAAAUCUAACAAUGAACAAACAGAAAGAGAAAUUUGUGUGAGAGAUAAUGUGUUUGUGUUUGUGUGUGUGUGUGUGUGUCCCUCUCUCUCUGUGUGUGUAUGUGUGUGGCAAAGGUAUGCAGAAGCAUAGAGGUCAUUUCCAGCUCAGUUCCUGCUGACAUGAUCACUCACUAUUGAGCUGUUGGUGAUGCAAGUAUUCUUAUGUGUGUAUGUGUGUGUGUGUAUGUGUAGUAAUGUGAGUGUCCGAGCGGAUGAAAAGACUCAGGCAUUGAAACUAAAGUUGGAGUAAUUCCUCUUAUUUUUAUUUGUAAGCUACCGGCAGGUUUAGGAGACAAAACAAUACAAAUAAAGAAUAAACAAAAACACUGAUAAAAGACAGAAAACAAACAUGGGAAAAUGGCCACCAUGACUAGGCCCUGCAGAAUAACAAUCUCGACACCUACGACCUCUCAUGACAAAGGCGAACCUUGAAUGAAGCGUUCGACAACAUUUUCUAACAUUAUUAUGGUCACAACCAAAACACACAAUUGAUCACAAAUCAGUCAUCACAUUGACACGAUCUUAGAACCCCUACACUGCAUAAGCGCAUCACACUACUUCCUAACUUUAAUGUGAAGACAAGACAUCAACAAUGCGUUGCAAUCCCAAAAUAACACAAAGAAAAAUCGUCCCAAACACCCCUGCCUAAAUGAGCACUUCCCUUACGGGUGCCCAUCCCGACCAUUUAAAUGAGGCCCACCUCCUACACCCCGGAAGACUGGCAUGCAACAGGUAAGGUAAACAUUCAUUUGCAAAUUACAAAGUCCAACAUACAAACACAGUUGAAGCGAUCCCACUAAGAUGUAAAAUGUGCACACAAGAAAUCCUCCAACUGCCCUGACGUUAUGCUUCACACAACUAACCAUUUACUGUAGCGCUCCUUUUGGACACGGCAUGCUCAAUGUUCCAACGUUAAUUCACAAUACAUUGCCAUUUUCAACAUAUGCAUUUUAGAAACAUGUCAUUUAAUCACCCAGUACCAAAUGUCCCGUUUAUAACAUGUCAAUUAAUCACCCAGUCCAUAUCUCUACCAAAUGUCCCGUUUAUAAAAUAAACUCAGGUCCCAUUGUUCCUAAACUGGCGGGAAUGUGCCCGCCAAAGUGACAGACACGGUGCGCUCUGUCACAACGUUGGUGUGUGUGUUUGUAUGUAGGCUAUGUGUGUGAGGAGCAUAGGUCAUAGAUCAGUAGAGUAGUGUUGCCUGCAUCUUGUCCUCAGUUUUUGUCCUCAGAUGCCUGUUGGUGUGUGUGUGUGUGUGUGUGUGUGUGUGAGCGUGUUGACAGGCGGGUCACAGUGAAAUAUUCUGGCUGAAGAUUAAUGUUUUGUUAAAAAAAUAAAUCCUCCACCAUCUUUACACAAA